Molecule: ribosomal RNA, 497 nt
Filed under: uncultured bacterium
Lineage: Bacteria
Description: partial 16S ribosomal RNA
Rfam family: Bacterial small subunit ribosomal RNA
Source: RNAcentral
GAUGAACGCUGGCGGCGUGCCUAAUACAUGCAAGUCGAGCGAACGGACGAGAAGCUUGCUUCUCUGAUGUUAGCGGCGGACGGGUGAGUAACACGUGGAUAACCUACCUAUAAGACUUGGAUAACUUCGGGAAACCGUAGCUAAUACCGGAUAAUAUUUUGAACCGCAUGGUUCAAAAGUGAAAGACGGUCUUGCUGUCACUUAUAGAUGGAUCCGCGCUGCAUUAGCUAGUUGGUAAGGUAACGGCUUACCAAGGCAACGAUGCAUAGCCGACCUGAGAGGAUGAUCGGCCACACUGGAACUGAGACACGGUCCAGACUCCUACGGGAGGCAGCAGUAGGGAAUAUUCCGCAAUGGGCGAAAGCCUGACGGAGCAACGCCGCGUGAGUGAUGAAGGUCUUCGGAUCGUAAAACUCUGUUAUUAGGGAAGAACAUAUGUGUAAGUAACUGUGCACGUCUUGACGGUACCUAAUCAGAAAGCCACGGCCAACUACGUG